Homarus americanus (American lobster) is the source of this 551-nucleotide long non-coding RNA. RefSeq lists it as uncharacterized. The transcript has 2 exons. The record is from RefSeq and is a predicted model, not a curated record. Lineage: Eukaryota; Metazoa; Arthropoda; Malacostraca; Decapoda; Nephropidae.
GGGAAGACUAAGAAGAGAGGAAGAAGAAGAGAAACGGGGAAAACCGAGAUAAAAAGAAGAAUGCGAACCAAAGGAACAGAAAGAGAGGAAUAACGAGGAGACAAGAGAACAAGAUAAACGUGCUGCGGACUGCAAAUGUCGUGGGGAAGAUGGCAACUGUCAGUGUAAGGAUCCAUAUAGCUGUUAAAGUGCCUCCUCUCUCAAGAUCUUUCUCUCCUGAAGCCUGCUACUGAAGAUGCUCACUUCUGAUGCUGCUCUCAGCCAAGGAUUCCUGCAAUUUGGGCAACACAGAUCAACAGUCCUUGUCAUACAACAUUGUUUUCAUGAGUGUUGUGGUGCAGCCAAGAAGAACCAUCUACAUAGUACAUGUACUUGGCUCUUGCCUGGUUACUUUAUUAUUUGUCCAGUUAAUAUGGAAACAAAACGAAAUAUAGAAAUUUCAUGUAUUAUUUCGAAAGCAGUAAAUAUUGGAACUAGGGUAUUUCAAAGCCUCUUUGAAUAAUGAAUUAUGUAAUCUAGAUGUAUUGUUUCUUGAAUAAAGAGAAAACCGA